GACGAACGCUGGCGGCGUGCUUAACACAUGCAAGUCGAACGGAAAGGCCCUUCGGGGUGCUCGAGUGGCGAACGGGUGAGUAACACGUGGGUGAUCUGCCCUGCACUUUGGGAUAAGCCUGGGAAACUGGGUCUAAUACCGAAUACACCCUGCUGGUCGCAUGGCCUGGGUGGGGGAAAGCUUUUUGCGGUGUGGGAUGGGGCCCGCGGCCUAUCAGCUUGUUGGUGGGGUGAUGGCCUACCAAGGCGACGACGGGUAGCCGGCCUGAGAGGGUGUCCGGCCACACUGGGACUGAGAUACGGCCCAGACUCCUACGGGAGGCAGCAGUGGGGAAUAUUGGGCAAUGGGCGAAAAGCCUGACCCAGCCACGCCGCGUGAGUGAUGAAGGCCUUCGGUCGUAA
Molecule: ribosomal RNA, 401 nt
Filed under: uncultured bacterium
Lineage: Bacteria
Description: bacterial SSU rRNA
Rfam family: Bacterial small subunit ribosomal RNA
Source: RNAcentral